Molecule: non-coding RNA, 301 nt
Organism: Pelobates cultripes (western spadefoot toad)
Lineage: Eukaryota; Metazoa; Chordata; Amphibia; Anura; Pelobatidae
Source: the annotation of a GenBank genome assembly
CAUAUCGGUCUGCAUCCUCGGGGCCAGGAUGUUCAAUAUUUAACAUUAAUUUCAUAGGGGUACUUCCUCCAGGCUUUCUUAAAGUCAUUCUUUGAAGGAGGGAUCUACCCUGAUUGUCUAUCUUAGAUAAAGCACUUUUUGGUUUAUAACCCCAGGCAGGCCCAGUAUUCCAUCCCGCAGCCCCCCAGUAGUUACAGUCAUAACCCCAUUGUUCAUCUACUACACAAACGUAAGGGUCUUUUGCUUGUGGUAUCUCUUUAUAAAUGGCUUGAAUCUGUGACUUAGGGAAUGGGCACUCUAC